This 641-nucleotide ribosomal RNA is filed under the name uncultured Bacilli bacterium. Its description in RNAcentral is "bacterial SSU rRNA". It matches the Rfam family "Bacterial small subunit ribosomal RNA", at positions 94 to 723 of the family's 1533-position model. The record is from RNAcentral. Lineage: Bacteria; Bacillati; Bacillota; Bacilli.
AGUUGCGAACGGGUGAGUAACGCGUAGGUAACCUGCCUCUUAGCGGGGGAUAACUAUUGGAAACGAUAGCUAAUACCGCAUAAAAGUCGACAUUGCAUGAUGUUGACUUGAAAGGUGCAACUGCAUCACUAAGAGAUGGACCUGCGUUGUAUUAGCUAGUUGGUGAGGUAACGGCUCACCAAGGCGACGAUACAUAGCCGACCUGAGAGGGUGAUCGGCCACACUGGGACUGAGACACGGCCCAGACUCCUACGGGAGGCAGCAGUAGGGAAUCUUCGGCAAUGGACGGAAGUCUGACCGAGCAACGCCGCGUGAGUGAAGAAGGUUUUCGGAUCGUAAAGCUCUGUUGUAAGAGAAGAACGAGUGUGAGAGUGGAAAGUUCACACUGUGACGGUAACUUACCAGAAAGGGACGGCUAACUACGUGCCAGCAGCCGCGGUAAUACGUAGGUCCCGAGCGUUAUCCGGAUUUAUUGGGCGUAGAGCGAGCGCAGGCGGUUAGAUAAGUCUGAAGUUAAAGGCUGUGGCUUAACCAUAGUACGCUUUGGAAACUGUUUAACUUGAGUGCAGAAGGGGAGAGUGGAAUUCCAUGUGUAGCGGUGAAAUGCGUAGAUAUAUAGAGGAACACCGGUGGCGAGAGCG